Phrynosoma platyrhinos (Desert horned lizard) is the source of this 72-nucleotide non-coding RNA. The record is from the annotation of a GenBank genome assembly. NCBI's taxonomy places the organism in Eukaryota, Metazoa, Chordata, Lepidosauria, Squamata, Phrynosomatidae.
UGCAGUGUGGUGCAUUGGUCUGCGUGUUCGACUAUGACUCCGGAGACCAGGGUUCGAAUCCCUGCUCAGCCA